GAUGAACGCUGGCGGCGUGCCUAAUACAUGCAAGUCGAGCGAACAGACGAGGAGCUUGCUCCUCUGACGUUAGCGGCGGACGGGUGAGUAACACGUGGAUAACCUACCUAUAAGGCUGGGAUAACUUCGGGAAACCGGAGCUAAUACCGGAUAAUAUAUUGAACCGCAUGGUUCAAUAGUGAAAGACAGUUUUGCUGUCACUUAUAGAUGGAUCCGCGCCGCAUUAGCUAGUUGGUAAGGUAACGGCUUACCAAGGCAACGAUGCGUAGCCGACCUGAGAGGGUGAUCGGCCACACUGGAACUGAGACACGGUCCAGACUCCUACGGGAGGCAGCAGUAGGGAAUCUUCCGCAAUGGGCGAAAGCCCGACGGAGCAACGCCGCGUGAGUGAUGAAGGUCUUCGGAUCGUAAAACUCUGUUAUUAGGGAAGAACAAAUGUGUAAGUAACUAUGCACGUCUUGACGGUACCUAAUCAGAAGGCCACGGCUAACUACGUG
RNAcentral lists this ribosomal RNA (497 nucleotides) under uncultured bacterium. RNAcentral describes it as "partial 16S ribosomal RNA". It matches the Rfam family "Bacterial small subunit ribosomal RNA", at positions 28 to 507 of the family's 1533-position model. The record is from RNAcentral.